This is a non-coding RNA of Triticum aestivum (bread wheat), 126 nucleotides long. The record is from Rfam. NCBI's taxonomy places the organism in Eukaryota, Viridiplantae, Streptophyta, Magnoliopsida, Poales, Poaceae.
CUCGUACUCUCUCCAUUCGAAAAAACGUGUCCCUCAAAUGGAUGUAUCUAGUAUCAAGUUAGUGCUAGAUACAUCCAUUUAAGGGAUAAACUUGGGACAAGUUUUUUCGGACGGAGGGAGUAUAAA